CCUACGGGUGGCAGCAGUGAGGAAUAUUGGUCAAUGGGCGCUAGCCUGAACCAGCCAAGUAGCGUGAAGGAUGACUGCCCUAUGGGUUGUAAACUUCUUUUAUAUGGGAAUAAAGUGCAGUAUGUAUACUGCUUUGCAUGUACCUUAUGAAUAAGGAUCGGCUAACUCCGUGCCAGCAGCCGCGGUAAUACGGAGGAUCCGAGCGUUAUCCGGAUUUAUUGGGUUUAAAGGGAGCGUAGGUGGAUUGUUAAGUCAGUUGUGAAAGUUUGCGGCUCAACCGUAAAAUUGCAGUUGAAACUGGCAGUCUUGAGUACAGUAGAGGUGGGCGGAAUUCGUGGUGUAGCGGUGAAAUGCUUAGAUAUCACGAAGAACUCCGAUUGCGAAGGCAGCUCACUGGACUGCAACUGACACUGAGGCUCGAAAGUGUGGGUAUCAAACAGGAUUAGAUACCCGGGUAGUC
Molecule: ribosomal RNA, 460 nt
Filed under: uncultured bacterium
Lineage: Bacteria
Description: partial 16S ribosomal RNA
Rfam family: Bacterial small subunit ribosomal RNA
Source: RNAcentral